This 253-nucleotide ribosomal RNA is filed under the name uncultured bacterium. RNAcentral describes it as "partial 16S ribosomal RNA". It matches the Rfam family "Bacterial small subunit ribosomal RNA", at positions 524 to 776 of the family's 1533-position model. The record is from RNAcentral.
GACAGAGGUGGCAAGCGUUGUUCGGAAUCACUGGGCUUAAAGGGCACGUAGGCGGCCCGGCAAGUCGGAUGUGAAAUCCCCUGGCUUAACCAGGGAACUGCAUCCGAAACUACCGGGCUCGAGCGCAGGAGGGGAGAGCGGAACUCCUAGUGGAGCGGUGAAAUGCGUAGAUAUUAGGAGGAACGCCGGUGGCGAAAGCGGCUCUCUGGCCUGCAGCUGACGCUGAGGUGCGAAAGCUAGGGGAGCAAACAGG